Eriocheir sinensis (Chinese mitten crab) is the source of this 1533-nucleotide long non-coding RNA. RefSeq lists it as uncharacterized. NCBI's taxonomy places the organism in Eukaryota, Metazoa, Arthropoda, Malacostraca, Decapoda, Varunidae. The record is from RefSeq and is a predicted model, not a curated record. The transcript has 6 exons.
CAGGCAAGUUGGUGGUCAGGGCCACACCCACACCCUCCUGGUGCCUCUGCUGCCGCGCCGAUAUCUCCUGCAUGGUCAGGCAGUGCCAACUCCAGCUGUACGGGCAUGUGGCACGCUGCCCACCCUGCUCACCGGGCUGUUUCAGAGUGGAGGAGGCUGAGGGAAUGCCCACGAAGCUCACAGAUUCCGCGUCUCCAUGGACCCUGCCGCAAGAGACUUCCAGCGCUGGGCCCGGCCGCUGCAAGCCUUGUUGGGUCAGCAUGUGGGAAGUCACCGAGAUGGAGCUUGAGCCGGUCGGCCUCAACCAUGAGAGUGCGCAUGGAUCUGUAGCGGCAGCCUGGUGUAAUUAUGUACAUCGGUGAGUUUGUUAUAAUAUAGGUGAUGAUUUGGUAUAUGUGUAUGAUGUAGUAACCCACGACCCGAUGAAAUGUGGAGGAUGAGAUAGGCGUGUGUGUAAUAGAAGUCGGAAGAAAAAGAGAACGUGGUGAGUUAAAGGGCAGACUGAAGAAAUGAAGGUGAAGAAAACGGGAAGAUUUAGAGGGUCACUACAGAUCCAUUGUCAUGUUCCGUUGAUAACCUCUUGAUUGAUUCAUGUUUGGUUGACGUCUCACUAUGAUAUUGCAGUAAAUAUUUAGUUGUAUCAUUUUACAUCAUUGUGCAUGACAUGGAUAUCCACAAAGUGUUCCUAAUGUAUGAUGAUUGAAUGUUUUGACAAGAAUAUGAAAAUUCACUCUUAGUUAGUGAGCAAACUAAGAAACUGUGUAUUUGAGGUAUUUGUUUCCAUGUUAUUAUAUUUUUAUUCUGAUUAUUUCCUUAUUCUCGGGCUGUGUGAGCGACAGGCUGGCCGUGAGCCUUGCCAGGGAGUGCUGGGCGGCCUGGUGCCCCGGCUGAAGGCAAGCGGCCUCUCUGAGACACCCAAAGACUGGCUGACAGAAGGUCUUAUGGUGGUACUGGUGUCUGAAGGCUGUGCAGUGGUGCAGGCACAGGCUCAGAGUGCCCAGGUGGAGCAAGGCUCUGAUGCUGGUUGCCGCCUGUCUGGGAGCAGACUCACAGAGGCCGGCGCCCUCAGCAGUGACGAGGAGUCUCCCUGAAAGCUCUCCCUCAAGGCACAGCAGCAGGCCACCGUCGCCCUUGUCAUCGGGAGCACCGAGAGUAUCCCGAGGAACACUUCAAUGUCCAAGUGAGAAGCGGGGGCUUCGUGGUGCAGUGGUUAGCACGCUCGGCUCACAACCGAGAGAGCCCAGGUUCGAUUCCCAGGCGGAGUGGAAAAAUUUGGGCGGCUUUUCCGAUACCCGACGCCCCUGUCCACCCAGCAGUGAAUGGGUACCAGGUGUGAGGAUGUCAAGCCACCACAAGCCAGGAGGGAAGUGGCUGCUAGGGCCAAGACAGCAGGUGGAGAGGGACCAUUAAGAAACAUGAUCCCGCUGCUACCACCACCGGGUUCAGCCUCACCUCUUCACCCCUGGAUGAAGGAGAUGUUUCUUGGCGGCCAAACUCAGGAGACUCACCAGAAAAGACCAUUCACCCGUGCCU